Molecule: long non-coding RNA, 866 nt
Filed under: Pogona vitticeps (central bearded dragon)
Lineage: Eukaryota; Metazoa; Chordata; Lepidosauria; Squamata; Agamidae
Description: lncRNA (ENSPVIG00000022689.1)
Source: RNAcentral
GUUUCUUUAAAUGAUGGUGCACACCAGCUCCGAAUUUUUCACAACAAUCCUUGCCCAGAUCAGCCCUUCUCUGCCAGUUCUCUGACUUUGGUAGGACGGUAUGUGCCCUGUGCAACCCUGCUGGUGAGGGUUUUCAAGGCUCCUACAGAUUUCAGACACCAAACUUUGCAGAGAAACAUGGUCCCCCAGGCACACUGGGUCAAUAUGGGUCUCUUCCAACCUAGGCCAGAUUAUUCUGAAGAAGUAUAUUACUCAGAUUCAGCCAAGCCUGAUGGAGGAGAAAUUUACUUCUAUGAAGCCAUGAUGAACAGAUUGAGUUAGUGCCAGGUGCAUCUGUAAUUGUGCGCAUUGCAGAUGGAAGAUGGAAUGAAGAAAUGAGAUAUACAUUAUGGGACACUGAUCAAUCAUUUCUGCCAAAGCAAGCACUAGAUCUGUACAACAAGGAAAUCUCUGGAAUAAAAAUUGCAGAAUUAACACCACAGGAGACAUCAGGCAGGCAAAACACUUGGCUUUGGAACCGAUUUAAGCCAAAAGACAUGUCGGUCGUGUAUCGGAACCACUACAAUUACAUGAAUGCAUUGCCCUUAGAGCAUCUAUCAUACUGACUAAAGAGAAUGUUACUAUUUUGCUAUAUCCAAGAAACUAAUCACAAAAGCUAUCACAACCAAGAAUAUUGUCAGUGAAUGCUGGUACUGCCUUCCACUACAAGAUGCCACAGUAUUUUGUUUUUAAGAAACCCUAUUUCCCCUUAGCAGUUGAAUUACACCACCAUGCUUCUCUCUGAUACUAUCAUUAAUUUGUUGCAUCUCUCCAAUAAUCUAAUUAAAAGUUAAGAGCGUUUUCUAAACUUUAUUUGAUUUAUAUAC